RNAcentral lists this ribosomal RNA (234 nucleotides) under Triticum aestivum (bread wheat). RNAcentral's name for it is "partial small subunit ribosomal RNA". Lineage: Eukaryota; Viridiplantae; Streptophyta; Magnoliopsida; Poales; Poaceae. The record is from RNAcentral.
UCUCCUCUAACCACACCCACGACGCUCAAAUGGCUCCCACCCUCCCGCGCCGCCGCUCCUCUUCCGCCCGCGCCGUCGAUGGGAUCCACUCCUCCUCGCUUGGACAUGCCCGUCCCCGGCCUCCUCCGCCCCUUCCCCGUCCGCUGCGCCAUGGUCGACCUCCUGAAGUCCUCCGCUCCUUCCUCGUCCGCUGCGCCAUGGUCGACUUCCUGGAUUACCUCAAGUCCUCCUUGU